Molecule: ribosomal RNA, 210 nt
Filed under: Asterionellopsis glacialis
Lineage: Eukaryota; Bacillariophyta; Plagiogrammaphyceae; Rhaphoneidales; Asterionellopsidaceae
Description: partial Eukaryotic large subunit ribosomal RNA
Rfam family: Eukaryotic large subunit ribosomal RNA
Source: RNAcentral
UUUACCCUACUGAUGAAUGUUAUCGCAAUAGUAAUUGAACUUAGUACGAGAGGAACCGUUCAUUCAGAUAAUUGGUUUUUGCGGCUGUCUGACCAGGCAGUGCCGCGAAGCUACCAUCUGCUGGAUUAUGGCUGAACGCCUCUAAGUCAGAAUCCAUGCCAGAAAGAGGUGAUCCUCCCCUGCACAUCGUAGUCGGAUACGAAUAGGCCU